GUGUCACUUACCAAAGUUCCCUUUAGCGUCAUUACUAGGUCUGUGAGACGAGUGUAACUUUGAAUCAUCAGAACCGCUGAUUUCUCCCUGUGUCAGUAUACUUAAAAUGCUGCACUUAAAAGGAUGCUUAUUUUGAUCCUCUGCUCAUUGUUUUCCUCAUGAAGUAUCACUGAUUCAUCCUAGAGGUGGUGUUCUUUUUAAGAAUUUGAGAAGGAAAACGUAGUUCCCAGCUACUUUUGUAUAAUAAAGAUUACUCUGGCAGCAGCAGUAUGAAGGAUGGCUUGUAGGAGGUAAGAGAAAUAUCUUUUCACCAGGGUAAACUCUCCUGUGGUAGGUAAAACGGUGGAGGUGCAUUAGAAUGCUCAAAAUAAGAAGAGAAAGAGGCUAAGUAGUGCUCUCUGAAGAGCACCAUUAUCUCACAAGUUAGAAAGGACUCAAUGGAGACUUAAAAGACAAAAAACAAACAGGGAAACAAAGGGAAACGGGGAGUUAUGGAAGCCAAAAGAGAAGUGGUUUAUGGUGUCAGAUUCUCAUAGGGGUCAGGUAAAAAAAAAAAUAAGGUUUGAAAACAUUGAUAAGGAAACUUAGCCACAGCAGUCUCUCUAGAUUAAUGGGACAAAAACCAGAUUCCAUUUGGUAAGAAGGGUACAGAGAAACUAGUUUUCUUGCAAGAAACUUGACUUUGAAGAGAUCAGAAAACCAGAGAUUUACUAGAACAGUUUUGCUGUAGAACUGUUAAGAUUUUCAGAUGUACUUACUGCUUAUUUUUGUUUCUCAAAUGAUGGUAAUUCUCAUUUUUAGAACUGAUCAUCAGGAGAGUUUAAAAACCUUUUCUGCUGCUUGUCCUGUGAGGAGUUUAAACAGAAGAACCAUAUUUGGGGUACUGUAUUGUUACAUCCUAGCCAACUGAAAAUGAUCUAUAGGCUGGGUGUGGUGGCUUAUGCCUGUAAUCCUGGCACUUUGGGAGGCCAGGGCAGACAGAUCACCUGAGGUUAGGAGUU
Piliocolobus tephrosceles (Ugandan red Colobus) is the source of this 1001-nucleotide long non-coding RNA. RefSeq lists it as uncharacterized. NCBI's taxonomy places the organism in Eukaryota, Metazoa, Chordata, Mammalia, Primates, Cercopithecidae. The transcript is spliced from 3 exons. The record is from RefSeq and is a predicted model, not a curated record.